RNAcentral lists this ribosomal RNA (281 nucleotides) under Acinetobacter baumannii. RNAcentral describes it as "partial 23S ribosomal RNA". It matches the Rfam family "Bacterial large subunit ribosomal RNA", at positions 501 to 785 of the family's 2925-position model. Lineage: Bacteria; Pseudomonadati; Pseudomonadota; Gammaproteobacteria; Moraxellales; Moraxellaceae. The record is from RNAcentral.
CCGUGAGGGAAAGGCGAAAAGAACCCCUGUGAGGGGAGUGAAAUAGAUCCUGAAACCGCAUGCAUACAAGCAGUGGGAGCACCUUCGUGGUGUGACUGCGUACCUUUUGUAUAAUGGGUCAGCGACUUAUAUUCAGUAGCGAGGUUAACCGUAUAGGGGAGCCGUAGAGAAAUCGAGUCUUAAUAGGGCGUUUAGUUGCUGGGUAUAGACCCGAAACCAGGCGAUCUAUCCAUGAGCAGGUUGAAGGUUGGGUAACACUAACUGGAGGACCGAACCCACUG